RNAcentral lists this transfer RNA (100 nucleotides) under Tremellales sp. Tagirdzhanova-0007. RNAcentral describes it as "tRNA-Ser". Lineage: Eukaryota; Fungi; Basidiomycota; Tremellomycetes; Tremellales. The record is from RNAcentral.
GACUGAUUGUUCCGAGUGGUUAAGGAGGCAGACUUGAACGACAUGUUUCGCACGAGAUCUGUUGGCGAAAGCCGCGCAUGUUCGAUCCAUGCAUCAGUCG